UGGGGAAUAUUGGACAAUGGGCGAAAGCCUGAUCCAGCCAUGCCGCGUGUGUGAAGAAGGUCUUCGGAUUGUAAAGCACUUUAAGUUGGGAGGAAGGGCAUUAACCUAAUACGUUAGUGUUUUGACGUUACCGACAGAAUAAGCACCGGCUAACUCUGUGCCAGCAGCCGCGGUAAUACAGAGGGUGCAAGCGUUAAUCGGAAUUACUGGGCGUAAAGCGCGCGUAGGUGGUUUGUUAAGUUGGAUGUGAAAGCCCCUGGCUCAACCUGGGAACUGCAUCCAAAACUGGCAAGCUAGAGUACGGUAGAGGGUGGUGGAAUUUCCUGUGUAGCGGUGAAAUGCGUAGAUAUAGGAAGGAACACCAGUGGCGAAGGCGACCACCUGGACUGAUACUGACACUGAGGUGCGAAAGCGUGGGGAGCAAACA
Molecule: ribosomal RNA, 427 nt
Filed under: uncultured bacterium
Lineage: Bacteria
Description: partial 16S ribosomal RNA
Rfam family: Bacterial small subunit ribosomal RNA
Source: RNAcentral